Molecule: ribosomal RNA, 499 nt
Filed under: uncultured bacterium
Lineage: Bacteria
Description: partial 16S ribosomal RNA
Rfam family: Bacterial small subunit ribosomal RNA
Source: RNAcentral
GACGAACGCUGGCGGCGUGCCUAAUACAUGCAAGUCGAGCGAAGUUUUUCUGGUGCUUGCACUAGAAAAACUUAGCGGCGAACGGGUGAGUAACACGUAAAGAACCUGCCUCAUAGACUGGGACAACUAUUGGAAACGAUAGCUAAUACCGGAUAACAGUAUUUCUCGCAUGAGAGAUAUUUAAAAGUUGGUUAUGCUAACACUAUGAGGUGGCUUUGCGGUGCAUUAGCUAGUUGGUGGGGUAAAGGCCCACCAAGGCGACGAUGCAUAGCCGACCUGAGAGGGUGAUCGGCCACACUGGAACUGAGACACGGCCCAGACUCCUACGGGAGGCAGCAGUAGGGAAUCUUCCGCAAUGGGCGAAAGCCUGACGGAGCAACGCCGCGUGAGUGAAGAAGGAUUUCGGUUCGUAAAGCUCUGUUGUUAGGGAAGAAUGGAUAUGUAGUAACUAUACAUGUAAGAGACGGUACCUAACCAGAAAGCCACGGCUAACUACGUG